UACGUAGGGUGCAAGCGUUGUCCGGAAUUAUUGGGCGUAAAGAGCUCGUAGGCGGUCUGUCGCGUCGGCUGUGAAAACCCGAGGCUCAACCUCGGGCCUGCAGUCGAUACGGGCAAACUAGAGUACUGCAGGGGAGACUGGAAUUCCUGGUGUAGCGGUGAAAUGCGCAGAUAUCAGGAGGAACACCGGUGGCGAAGGCGGGUCUCUGGGCCGAUAUUGACGCUGAGGAGCGAAAGCGUGGGGAGCGAACAGG
RNAcentral lists this ribosomal RNA (253 nucleotides) under uncultured bacterium. RNAcentral describes it as "partial 16S ribosomal RNA". It matches the Rfam family "Bacterial small subunit ribosomal RNA", at positions 524 to 776 of the family's 1533-position model. The record is from RNAcentral.